CCUCAGUAACGGCGAGUGAAGCGGUAACAGCUCAAAUUUGAAAUCUGGCCUCACGGUCCGAGUUGUAAUUUGUAGAGGAUGCUUCGAGCAUGGUCUGGCCUAAGUUCCUUGGAACAGGACGUCAUAGAGGGUGAGAAUCCCGUAUGCGGCCAGGUGCCUACGCUCAUGUGAAGCUCCUUCGACGAGUCGAGUUGUUUGGGAAUGCAGCUCAAAAUGGGUGGUAAAUUUCAUCUAAAGCUAAAUAUUGGCCAGAGACCGAUAGCGCACAAGUAGAGUGAUCGAAAGAUGAAAAGCACUUUGGAAAGAGAGUUAAACAGUACGUGAAAUUGUUGAAAGGGAAGCGCUUGCAACCAGACUUGCGCGCGGCCGAUCAUCCGGUGUUCUCACCGGUGCACUCGGCCGUGCUCAGGCCAGCAUCGGUUUUGGCGGCUGGAUAAAGGCCCUAGGAAUGUAGCUCCUCUCGGGGAGUGUUAUAGCCUAGGGUGCAAUGCAGCCUGCUGGGACCGAGGACCGCGCUUCGGCUAGGAUGCUGGCGUAAUGGUUGUAAGCGGCCCGUCUUGAAACACGGACCAAGGAGUCUAACAUCUAUGCGAGUGUUUGGGUGUCAAACCCAUACGCGUAAUGAAAGUGAACGGAGGUGAGAACCCUUAAGGGUGCAUCAUCGACCGGUCCUGAAGUUUACGGAAGGAUCUGAGUAAGAGCAUAGCUGUUGGGACC
RNAcentral lists this ribosomal RNA (717 nucleotides) under Pseudogymnoascus sp. Its description in RNAcentral is "partial large subunit ribosomal RNA". It matches the Rfam family "Eukaryotic large subunit ribosomal RNA", at positions 78 to 816 of the family's 3401-position model. The record is from RNAcentral. Lineage: Eukaryota; Fungi; Ascomycota; Leotiomycetes; Thelebolales; Thelebolaceae.